This 930-nucleotide ribosomal RNA is filed under the name uncultured bacterium. RNAcentral's name for it is "bacterial SSU rRNA". It matches the Rfam family "Bacterial small subunit ribosomal RNA", at positions 8 to 916 of the family's 1533-position model. The record is from RNAcentral.
AGAGUUUGAUCAUGGCUCAGAACGAACGCUGGCGGCGUGCUUAACACAUGCAAGUCGAACGGGAUCCAGAGCUUGCUCUGGUGAGAGUGGCGCACGGGUGAGUAACGCGUGGAUAACCUGCCCUGGUAUCUGGAAUAACAUCUCGAAAGGGGUGCUAAUACCGGAUAAGCCCACGGAGUCUUCGGACCCUGCGGGAAAAGGUGGCCUCUGAAUAUACUACCGUAUCAGGAUGGGUCCGCGUACCAUUAGCUAGUUGGUAGGGUAAUGGCCUACCAAGGCUACGAUGGUUAGCUGGUCUGAGAGGAUGAUCAGUCACACUGGAACUGAGACACGGUCCAGACUCCUACGGGAGGCAGCAGUGGGGAAUUUUGCGCAAUGGGGGAAACCCUGACGCAGCAACGCCGCGUGAGUGAUGAAGGCUUUCGGGUCGUAAAGCUCUGUCAGUAGGGAAGAAGUGUAAGGGUGCUAAUACCAUCUUUACUUGACGGUACCUACAAAGGAAGCACCGGCUAACUCCGUGCCAGCAGCCGCGGUAAUACGGAGGGUGCAAGCGUUGUUCGGAUUUAUUGGGCGUAAAGCGCGUGUAGGCGGUUUCUUAAGUCUGAUGUGAAAGCCCUGGGCUCAACCCAGGAAGUGCAUUGGAUACUGGGAGACUUGAAUACGGGAGAGGGUAGUGGAAUUCCUAGUGUAGGAGUGAAAUCCGUAGAUAUUAGGAGGAACACCGGUGGCGAAGGCGGCUACCUGGACCGAUAUUGACGCUGAGACGCGAAAGCGUGGGGAGCAAACAGGAUUAGAUACCCUGGUAGUCCACGCCGUAAACGAUGAGAACUAGGUGUUGCGGGUAUUGACCCCUGCAGUGCCGCAGCUAACGCAUUAAGUUCUCCGCCUGGGAAGUACGGUCGCAAGACUAAAACUCAAAGGAAUUGACGG